RNAcentral lists this ribosomal RNA (710 nucleotides) under Cicurina sp. 1 JCS-2006. RNAcentral describes it as "eukaryotic LSU rRNA". The stretch from base 452 to 710 matches the Rfam family "Eukaryotic large subunit ribosomal RNA", at positions 665 to 898 of the family's 3401-position model. Lineage: Eukaryota; Metazoa; Arthropoda; Arachnida; Araneae; Dictynidae. The record is from RNAcentral.
AUUCAGUUUGGUUCGACAGACGUGCAGGCCGGAAAANUUAGUAAGGNUUCCCCNAGCGGGGCCUGUCCGGUCGCAUUAAGCUCUGUUGUGCCANACGCAUUUGUCUCUCGUCCNAAGNACGNUUCAGCCGGCUGGGUAGUGCAAGCGCGACGGCCUNAGGGGCGGGAGAUGGCAGGUGGCCGGUGGCGUNCNUUGUGCGCGUCGCCGGUUGUUAGCCGUCCNGUCAGUGGCUCGUCACCCGGCCGAGGUGUCGCUAGGCCCGAGUGGCCUNAUCGUCUCCUCCCCAUGGAAGUCGGGACAGAGUGCUGCAGGUGGAGAACGUCGUCCUGUUCGCACCCUUCUGGGGUGGUCGGGCGAACGGUCUCCGCCGUUGGUGGCGCCGGGCCCGUCGGAGGUUGGAGGCUUGCAGCGAGUAGGUCGGUCACCCACCCGACCCGGUCUUGAAACACGGACCAAGGAGUCUAACAUGUGCGCGAGUCAAUGGGUCUUGAAUAGGCCCAGAGGCGUAAUGAAAGCAAAGGCCGGUUUCACAUNGGCUGAGUUGGGAUCCCCUGUCAUGGGGGCGCACCAACGACCCGUCCUAUCCGGCUCGCCGGUUGGGCGGAGUGUGAGCGUAUACGUUGGGUCCCGAAAGAUGGUGAACUAUGCCCGGACAGGACGAGGCCAGAGGAAACUCUGGUGGAGGUCCGCAGCGGUUCUGACGUGCAAAU